Molecule: ribosomal RNA, 368 nt
Filed under: uncultured bacterium
Lineage: Bacteria
Description: bacterial SSU rRNA
Rfam family: Bacterial small subunit ribosomal RNA
Source: RNAcentral
AUUGAACGCUGGCGGCAUGCCUUACACAUGCAAGUCGAACGGAUUCUUGGGGCUUGCUCCAAGAGUUAGUGGCGAACGGGUGAGUGAUGCAUCGGAACGUGCCCAAUCGUGGGGGAUAACGUAGCGAAAGUUACGCUAAUACCGCAUACGUCCUGAGGGAGAAAGCAGGGGACUCGCAAGAGCCUUGCGCGAAUGGAGCGGCCGAUGUCGGAUUAGCUAGNGGCGGGGUAAAGCCCACCAAGGCGACGAUCCGUAGCUGGUCUGAGAGGACGACCAGCCACACUGGGACUGAGACACGGCCCAGACUCCUACGGGAGGCAGCAGUGGGGAAUUUUGGACAAUGGGCGAAAGCCUGAUCCAGCCAUGCC